Molecule: ribosomal RNA, 406 nt
Filed under: uncultured bacterium
Lineage: Bacteria
Also listed under: 1 other name
Description: bacterial SSU rRNA
Rfam family: Bacterial small subunit ribosomal RNA
Source: RNAcentral
UGGGGAAUAUUGGGCAAUGGGCGCAAGCCUGACCCAGCAACGCCGCGUGAAGGAAGAAGGCUUUCGGGUUGUAAACUUCUUUUAAGAGGGAAGAGCAGAAGACUGUACCUCUAGAAUAAGCCACGGCUAACUACGUGCCAGCAGCCGCGGUAAUACGUAGGUGGCAAGCGUUGUCCGGAUUUACUGGGUGUAAAGGGCGUGCAGCCGGGAAUGCAAGUCAGAUGUGAAAUCCAUGGGCUUAACCCAUGAACUGCAUUUGAAACUGUAUUUCUUGAGUACUGGAGAGGCAAUCGGAAUUCCUAGUGUAGCGGUGAAAUGCGUAGAUAUUAGGAGGAACACCAGUGGCGAAGGCGGAUUGCUGGACAGCAACUGACGGUGAGGCGCGAAAGUGUGGGGAGCAAACAGG